Molecule: ribosomal RNA, 755 nt
Filed under: Vibrio sp. CCH-67
Lineage: Bacteria; Pseudomonadati; Pseudomonadota; Gammaproteobacteria; Vibrionales; Vibrionaceae
Also listed under: 2 other names
Description: bacterial SSU rRNA
Rfam family: Bacterial small subunit ribosomal RNA
Source: RNAcentral
GGCCUAACACAUGCAAGUCGAGCGGAAACGACACUAACAAUCCUUCGGGUGCGUUAAUGGGCGUCGAGCGGCGGACGGGUGAGUAAUGCCUAGGAAAUUGCCUUGAUGUGGGGGAUAACCAUUGGAAACGAUGGCUAAUACCGCAUAAUGCCUACGGGCCAAAGAGGGGGACCUUCGGGCCUCUCGCGUCAAGAUAUGCCUAGGUGGGAUUAGCUAGUUGGUGAGGUAAUGGCUCACCAAGGCGACGAUCCCUAGCUGGUCUGAGAGGAUGAUCAGCCACACUGGAACUGAGACACGGUCCAGACUCCUACGGGAGGCAGCAGUGGGGAAUAUUGCACAAUGGGCGAAAGCCUGAUGCAGCCAUGCCGCGUGUAUGAAGAAGGCCUUCGGGUUGUAAAGUACUUUCAGUUGUGAGGAAGGGGGUAGCGUUAAUAGCGCUAUCUCUUGACGUUAGCAACAGAAGAAGCACCGGCUAACUCCGUGCCAGCAGCCGCGGUAAUACGGAGGGUGCGAGCGUUAAUCGGAAUUACUGGGCGUAAAGCGCAUGCAGGUGGUUCAUUAAGUCAGAUGUGAAAGCCCGGGGCUCAACCUCGGAACUGCAUUUGAAACUGGUGAACUAGAGUACUGUAGAGGGGGGUAGAAUUUCAGGUGUAGCGGUGAAAUGCGUAGAGAUCUGAAGGAAUACCAGUGGCGAAGGCGGCCCCCUGGACAGAUACUGACACUCAGAUGCGAAAGCGUGGGGGAGCAAACAGGAU